RNAcentral lists this ribosomal RNA (253 nucleotides) under uncultured bacterium. Its description in RNAcentral is "partial 16S ribosomal RNA". It matches the Rfam family "Bacterial small subunit ribosomal RNA", at positions 524 to 776 of the family's 1533-position model. The record is from RNAcentral.
UACAGAGGUGGCAAGCGUUGUUCGGAAUUACUGGGCGUAAAGGGCGCGUAGGCGGUCUUGUAAGUCUUGUGUGAAAUCCCUCGGCUCAACUGAGGAACUGCACGGGAUACUGCGAGACUUGAGUUCGGGAGAGGGAAGCGGAAUUCCGGGUGUAGCGGUGAAAUGCGUAGAUAUCGGGAGGAAUACCAGCGGCGAAGGCGGCCUUCUGGACGGUGACUGACGCUGAGACGCGAAAGCGUGGGGAGCAAACAGG